RNAcentral lists this ribosomal RNA (658 nucleotides) under Ophiocordyceps nutans. RNAcentral describes it as "partial large subunit ribosomal RNA". It matches the Rfam family "Eukaryotic large subunit ribosomal RNA", at positions 141 to 805 of the family's 3401-position model. Lineage: Eukaryota; Fungi; Ascomycota; Sordariomycetes; Hypocreales; Ophiocordycipitaceae. The record is from RNAcentral.
AGUUGUAAUUUGCAGAGGAUGCUUUUGGCAAGGCACUGUCUAAGUUCCCUGGAAUGGGACGCCACAGAGGGUAAGAGCCCCGUCUAGUUAGAUGCCGAAGCCUUUUUAAAGCUCCUUCAACGAGUCGAGUAGUUUGGGAAUGCUGCUCAAAGUAGGAGGUAUAUGUCUUCUAAAGCUAAAUAUUAGCUAGAGACCGAUAGCGCACAAGUAGAGUGAUCGAAAGAUGAAAAGCACUUUGAAAAGAGGGUUAAACAGUACGUGAAAUUGCUAAAAGGGAAGCACUUGCAACUAGACAUAGAUGUUUUCAAUCAAUUAGUGAUUUUCACUAAUGUGCUUGGAAUUAUCUAGGCUAGCAUCGGUUUACUGUAGAGAAAAAAGAUAUCUAGAACGUAGCCCUCUUCGGAGGGUGUUAUAGCUAGAUGUGUAAUGCUCUACUUAGUAGACCGAGGUGUUAUUGCGCAUUCUUGCAAGGAUGCUGGCGUAAUAGUUGCUAGUGACCCGUCUUGAAACACGGACCAAGGAGUCGUCUUCGUAUGCGAGUGUUUGGGUAUAAAACCCUUGCGCGAAAUGAAAGUAAACGUAGUAAGAACCUCUUUAAAAAAGAGGCAUAUUACCGACCGAUCUUGAUGUUCUCGGAUGGAUUUGAGUAAGAGCAUAC